Molecule: ribosomal RNA, 253 nt
Filed under: Polyangiaceae bacterium
Lineage: Bacteria; Pseudomonadati; Myxococcota; Polyangiales; Polyangiaceae
Also listed under: 1 other name
Description: partial 16S ribosomal RNA
Rfam family: Bacterial small subunit ribosomal RNA
Source: RNAcentral
GACAGAGGGUGCAAACGUUGCUCGGAAUUACUGGGCGUAAAGCGCGUGUAGGCGGACGCGGAAGUCGGGUGUGAAAUCCCUGGGCUCAACCCAGGAACUGCAUCCGAAACUCCGUGUCUAGAGUGUCGGAGAGGGACGUGGAAUUCCUGGUGUAGAGGUGAAAUUCGUAGAUAUCAGGAGGAACACCGGUGGCGAAGGCGACGUCCUGGACGACGACUGACGCUGAGACGCGAAAGCGUGGGGAGCAAACAGG